UGCUUAAUUAAACAAACAUCAGCAGACAACAAUAUACAGUUCCUCAUUAUGUUUAACUUAUCUUUUAGUCAGAUCUUUAAGUUGAAAGUGCUAAAGUGACAGUAGAGACCUUGAAGCAAUUACGAGCUAAACGUUAUAAUAGCUUGAACACUCCGUACUUUAACUUUUUAUAUAUUAUAACACCAACAUAUUGGCGAUUAUUUCACACAUUCCAUAUCAGCCACACGUACCAGACAGGUGAUGCUGGCAAUUAACUGGAAAUUAUUUAGUACAUGAUGAUUAUAAUGAGAUUCAUGUUUAGCAGUUAACUGGGGCAAUGACAGCACCAACGACAGUAAGGCCCGUCUUCCAGGUGGUUCCAUCACAUCCAUUCAUCGAGAACUUGACAUCAGUAUUCUCACAGCCACAGGCGCCUGUGUUGCAGAAUUCACCAACCUUAAGUCCCACCAAAGUAUUCGUUGGCUUUGUCUUCAAAUCUUCCUUGUGCUCUUCAGUAGUGCCGUUGGGACGAGUAAGCUUAAGGGUCACUGGUCCAUUCAUGCAAAGAUUGUCGCUAAGCUCCACAGCAAGAUACACUGCGUAUUUCACUCCCUUGGUGAGGUUGUUGGCAUUGUACUUUCCGUCAAUUUGUAGCCAGCAUACUGUGAUCAGUUCAGCAACCUCCAUAGGCUGGCAGCUGUGUGUACAAAAGUCCGAAAAACCAAAUAUUAUGUAAAAAUUAUCUCAAAUCUUUGGUCUCGAAAAAUGGAAGUCAAUGGGCUGUUUGGGUUAGCUGAAAAGAAGGGACUUUUUACUUAAAUUAAAAAAGGGGAGUAGAAGUGAGAAGUAAAUAAGUUAAUAAAGAGUUUGGAAAAGAAGUAGAAGUUGUGAGAGAAAAUCUAGUGUGCCUGUUUGUUUAGCAGAAGCAGGGGCUUCUGCUUCUGACUUCUGCUUCUUGACCCGUUUGUGUAAAGAAGUAGAAGCACUUUUAAGAAGCUGAGAAUGCUAGCUUCUCUCUCACAGCUUCUACUUUUUUUCCAAACACUUUAUUCACUUAUUUACUUCUCACUUCUAAUUCACUUCUUUAUUUUAAACAAAGAAGCACUUCUUUUAAGCUUAGCCAAACGGCCCCAGUAUCUUCAGUUUCUUAAAAGUGCUUUUACUUAUUUACACAAACAGCUCAAGAAAAGCAGAAGCCAGAAGCAACUUCUGUCUCGUCAUUAAAUUUGUAGUACAAAAACACCAAAAGCUUUCCAACAUGUGCUAUACAUACCUGAUUGGGUAUGUCUUAGAAACCCAUUUCCAGUAGCGGCUGUCUGAACCCCAAACUAUUGAGAGUUCCUUUGCACUGAUAACCGCAGCGAAGGACUGGACCAAUUAAUCAACAUUAACGGAGAUAUUUCCGAAUCAAAAUAUAUCGUACAAAAUUUAUAUGACUAAUUAGACUAUAAUUAAGAACAAGUCACACGCAGGCAUACUGGUGUGGGCAUGGUGCAUGACACUAAUACUAUUGCAGAAUUAUAAUUUCAUAAUUACCUAAAUAAAAAAAUAGUGAAAAUUAACAACCAAAAUAACUUACACUCUUGUCUUUCGCAGCCUGGACACCUUGAGUCCACAAUGACACGAUGUCAUCACGCACACGCUGCACUUGAGCCAUCCUCCUUGCUAGUUGAGAAUAAGAAGUUCUUAUGUAAUUCUUGUGCUGUCGAUGCCAAUCCUCACUUCCUUGAGCUCUAUUUAUAGCGUUGCGUACGGUCCUAUUUGUGCACUUAUUGAUAGUUACACUUAAACUUAUCUACGGUAGUCGGAUGCUCUGUCCCGUUAUUCUUUCUUUUUAUAAAAUAAGUGGAGCUUGGAUAAGAGAUUCAUCAAUUAUUUAUGCCAUUUGUGCGGUACAAGCCUCACUGGAAUCUGGUAACUUUCGGUUUUGAUUGAAAUACUCAUAUAACGACGAAAUCGUGGAAGCAUCCGACUAUGAGAAAAGAAAUACAGUGACAGGAGUACUUCUGUCAGAUCUAGGAGCCUAGGACAUUACUCAGCUCGAUUAACUCUGAAAUUUAAUAUUGGCACAGAUGAACCAAACCACGAAACAUUGAGCUUCUCAGUAAUUGUUGAACCAGAAUCUGGAAACUGAAGUAGAAUAUUCGUCACAAGAUCUUCCUGUAUAAAUAAACUUAUAAUUACUUUCAAGGCUGUUACAUUUGGUAAUGAGUAAUGCUACGUACACAGAAACGGAUACAGAUUUGUGUACAGAAUGACGUGGAUUCCACCGACUUUCUCACUUCAUUUAUCAUUCAUACUCUGUCGUUGUUUUCUUUUCUUUUUUCAAUACAUCUCCGCUUCUUUUAGUUCUGUCUUCUACUUUUGAGUCUUUAUAGUAUUUUGUUAUAUAGGCAGUUUAUAUGUUUAAUCGAUUUUUGAUAAUUUUAUUAUAUAAACAAAUAUAUUUUUUUUACAUUUUGAUAUCUUUCUUUACUUCUAUUAUUCAAUAUAUUUAUCAUAUAUGUAUUAUUAUCUUGAAAUUUGACAUUUUCUUCCAUAAUUUAUUUACUGUAUUUUGUAGUGGAUUGAUCUAUUUUAUAUUCCAAAACUCUUAAAUAUCUAUUUUAUCAUUCAUAUUACCAACAUAUUUAACAUAUUCGUUAUACAUGAAAUAUUUUUGUGCGAUUAUAAUAUCUUAAAUGGCAUUUACUACUUUUAAAUUAAGAUAAUGAAUAUUCUAAAUUUUAAAACUUUAAACGUUAUUUAGAAUUUUAUAUUCAGCGAGCACUUUUGUUAUACAUGUAGUUGUGAUUUUUAAACAUUUUUUGUUCAAAUAAAAUUUUGACAACUUUUAAUUUAAAAUAUAUAUUUAUAUUUAUUUUGUAGAAGUUUCUUUCUCUUAAUUAGCUGAUAUAUUUAUACGAAACUUUUUUAUUUUAUAUUCCAAAACAAUCAAAUAUAUAUUUUAUUUUUAGAAUAGAAAAUAAACAAGUCCUCUACAGAAGUACAAUAAAUAAAUUAUUAUCUAAUAGAAGGACAAAUAUAUCAAAUUAUAAAAUUAUAAAGAUAAUAAUAAAAAAUGAAUUAGAUAAUACAAGUAAAACAAAUAUAUCAAUGUAUAAUAUAAAUAUAUUUGUAUAAAGAAUAAAAUGGUAAAAAACGAUUAAAGCAGAGGGUGUGUAUAAUAAAAAUAGCAGCAUAUAAAGACUCCAAGGCAAUAGAAAAAAAAUAAAGCAGAGGGUGGAAAGAAAAAAUCAAAGCCGAGGGAUGAAGAGUGAAUAAAGAUAAUAAAUGAAAAGAGAAUGAUAUUGGAAUCCACGUCAUUCUGACUCUGUACACAAUUCUGUAUCAGUUUCGGUGGACCUAGCAUUAUUCUUUCGUAAUAUAUGUUGGGUUUGUCUGUGCCCAUGGGUACAUGCUAAGCACGAAAUUUUAUAAGUUUGGUGAAUUUUAAUUGGUGUGGUUGGUGAAUUUGCAAGGGGUCCACCAUUAUAAAGAAAUAAGAGCCAAUCAAAAUCACUCAAACUUAAGAAUUUUAGUGCUUAGUGUGUGCCCCUAGGCACACACUAGAAAAACCGAUAUAUGUUUGUGAAUAUAUAAUGAAGUAGUAGCCAACACUACAAAAAACUGUCCUGUUUACGACGGAAAUUAAGCCUGAAAUCUGUCAUAAUUCCGAAGUUAUGACAGAAAAAUUCCGCCGUUUUUUAUCGAUUAGUAAGUUUAAAACCAUUCACAAAUUUCGGUAUACUUUGCAAGUUACAUAAGGCGUCACAAGUUUCACUAGAUGGCCUCCAUAAUUUCACUAUUAUAAUGGCAAACUUUACGACGCACAAUUCAUCGUAAGAUAGCUUUUUAUGACAGAAUUUUCAUUGUAAGUUGCGUAUUAUUCUAUUGGCAGAUGGGACCCACUUAUAUGAAAUUUACGACGAAAAUUUGAAUUUGUGACCAAUUUUUGAACUUUUGACUCGAGCAAAAAGACGGAAAAAAUCCGUCGUAAUUGGACCAUUUACGACGGAUUCAGUGUUAAAAAUCCGUCAUAAAUGGGUUUAUUUGUUGCAGUGAAUAUAUAGUUGCCCAUAAGGAGACUGAUGAAAAAGGAGUGGUACAUUUAGGUCCAAGAUUUAUAUUCUUGAUUGCUAGAAAUAAUUCGGAUGCUAUUUUAUUUUUAAUGAGUUAAGGUGGUGACCGAUAAAAUUUAAAUUCAAAUACUUUGGGACGUGGAAUAGUACUUUUUUUUUUUUUUAUUAAAAGUUAAUCCUUAUUAAAUCAUCAAAUGUUAGACAAUAGUGUCUCCGACAAGCAUAAUGGAGGAGACGAAAUAACAAUGAAGCUACUAAGCUUAUAAGAAUUUUAGCCAUCUAAUUAUCUGCUGCCUUAUUUGAAGGAUUUCUAACAUAUCUGGGAGUCACUUUCUAUAAUAUAUUCAGCUAUUAGUUCAGCAACCUCCAGAGCCUGGGAGCUGUGUGUACAAAAGUCCCAAAAACCAAAUAUUAUGUAAAACUAGUUGAGAAGCCGCGUUGCGGCGGCCUAUAAAAAUUAUAUUAAUGGCUCAAUAUUAAUAUUUGUAAAAUAAAAUAAUUUUGUGUUUGUCUAUAAAAAGUAUAUUAAUGUUUCAAAAUUAAUAUUUGUAGGAUAAAAUAAAUUUUAUAUUAUAAAAAUCUUGAUGUAAUACCAAUACUAAUAGAUAAAAUUGCAAAAUUGGACUAUAAUUCAUGAUGAAAAAAUGAAAAUAAAUUUAUACACGUAAUUAACAAUUUAAAACACGGCGAAUAUUAAUUUUAUUUGUGUUUUUUUAAAAGUAAUCAUGUUCUUACAUUGUCACUUUACUCCAAUUUUUUUGGAUUGAUUGUGCACAAACACGUCUAACUUAAAUCUGUGAGAUAGCGGUGUAUAACUACCCUUGCUUGUAACAAACUUUAAAUUUUAAUACUGUAUAAACAGUCUUACUUAAAAGUUGCUUGAAUAGAGCAAACAGAUAAUGCAUGAAUAAUUUUUUUUCAAUGUAUACAAAAUAAAUCAUAUAAAAAUUAACAACAUAUUCGAAGAACAAAAACAAACGUUAUAAAAUAAUAACCAACAAACAUACAUCACUAACAGUUAAUUUAUUGAUAUCAUCCAUCAAUAUCAUGUCAAGACUAUAUUCUUUUCCCGUGUUUUGAUUUGUCGACUCCAACAUAGCGGUCUAUAACUACCUUUGCUUACAACAACCUUUAUUUUUUUAAUACUGUAUAAACAGCCUUCACUUAUCGUUGCUGAAGAACGGCACUACCGAGUUAGAAAUCGAGCAAGAGAAUUAUCACCAAAGAGAGGUAAGGUUGUGGUAUUGAGAGAAAGAAUGUUGUGUUUAGAUGAUCUAAAACCCUACAAUCUAUAGGGGAUUUAUAGGUGCAGAGAGACCUGUGUGCUACUCUUUUCCAUAAUUAAAUAAUAUGAAACAAAAUCAGAUUAAAACUUUCAAGCUACUGUAUUCCAUAAAUAAUCUGAAACAAAAUUAGAUUCUGAAACUUGCUUCCAAUAUACCCGAAACUACUAAUCUGAAACAAAAUCAGAUUAAAACUUUCAAGCUACUAUAUUCCAUAAAUAAUCUGAAACAAAAUCAGAUUCUGAAACUUGCUUCUAAUAUACCCAAAACUAAAAAAGGUAGUUCUAGUUUUUGAUAUUUUUCAUCCAAAAAUUCCAGAAAAUUAGAAAAAUAGAACGGAGCGAUGUGAGAGACGCCACCUACACGCCCCUCGCUUCUCCUUUAUAUAAGUAUAUUGAUUUAUCUCAAAUCUUUGGUCUCGAUAAAUGGAAUUCAAUGUCCAGUCAUUAAAUUCCAACAUGUGCUAUAUAUACAGACCUGAUUGGGUAUUUCUUAGAAACCCAUUUCCAGUCAUAACCGCAGCGCACCUUACGCUCUUGUCUUUCACAGCCUGGACACCUUGAGUCCACAAUGAUAAGAUGUCAUCACGCUACACUUGAGCCAUCUUCUUGCUAGUUGGGAAUAAGAAGUUCUUGUGCAAUUCUUGUGCUGUCGAUGCCAAUACUCACUUCCUUGAGCUGUAUUUAUAGGGUUUCGGACGGUCCUAUUUGUCCACUUAUUGAUAGGUACACUUAUCCUUAUCUGCAUGUGGUAGGAGGAUGCUCUGUCUCAUUAUUCUUUCUUGUUAUUAAAUAAGUGGAGCUUGGACAUUACUCAACUCGAUCAACUCUGAAAUUUGAUAUUGGCACAGAUGAACAACCACGAAACAUUGAGCUUCUCAGUAAUUGUUGAACCAGAAUUUUCUGGAAACUGAACUAGAAAAUUCGCCACAAGAUCUUCCUGUAUAAAUAAACUUAUAAUUACUUUCAAGUUUCAAGGCUGCUAAUUAAAUUUCAUAAUAUAUGUUUGUGAAUAAAUUAUAUUGAAUUAGUAGCCAAGGAGAAGUUUAAUUGAUCAUGGGGUGAAAUGGGGUCUGGGUACAUCCACUAAUUUCAAAUAACGGCUACAAUGAGCCUACAACUUUAGACAAGACUACAAUGGAAGAAUGAAAUCUGUUACAAACGGAAUUGCAUGUGUCAUUUUUCACGGAUUUGGUACUUUUUUUUUGAGAAAUUCACGGAUUUAGUACUUGAAAUCCGUCAAAAAAGAAGGAUGUAUAGUAGCGCAGCCGCAGAACUAUUCAUGCAACUACAAUUAGAGAACACCGAUUCUACAAGUCUAUCACUCUUCUCGAUUACUAGGUAUAUAGAGUUGUGUAGUUAACAUAACUGCUGUAUGAAAUUUAACACCCUCCCUUGAUCGGGUCGAAAAGAAUUCCGUGCAAGAUAAAUUUUAAAAAAGGCGAUAUAAUUCUAACGUCAUUGAAAAUACUUUUGCAGACACUCAUUAGAGGAAAUUAAAUUUCAACGGUUUUUGGGUACUUGUAGUAGAAUUAGAUGUACAGUACAUGUUUUCUCGUAAGAAUUUGUCCUGCAAACAGUCCCUUUUCACCGUUAUUUCUAUAUGGUUUAUUAACAAGUGAAAUUUUUCAGUGGACUAUGUAUGGAAUAUCAAGAUUUGGUUAUUUUUACAUAAUUUUUUUAUUUAAAAAUAAUUAUUAUUAUACUAAUAUGAAAGGACUUCUAUAUUGAUAUAAUGAUUAUCCCACCAACAUAAUUACAUUGUCAACAAAAAUAUCCACUUUAAAUUUUAAAACGCAAACAAUUUAAAUUAUGAAACAACACCCUUAUUUGGUUAUCACAGUAUUUUUUUAUUUGAUGAUAAUUAUUAUUAUACCUUUAUGAAAAUAUUUUCAUAUUGAUGAGGAUUUUUUAAUAUAAUGAUUAUCCCACUAACAGAUUACAUUGUUAACAAAAUCAGUCCUUUAUAAUUUAAACGUUAAACAAUUUUAUUUAUGAAAUAACUUUAUAAAAUUUCUAUCAUGUUUCACAAUUCAAUAAAAUAGGGAGUCUAUAUUAAUAUUAAUAAACCAAAAUUUGGUUAACAUAAUUUUUUUAUGAAUAACAAAAUAACUAUUAUUAUACUAUUAUUAUUAUAAUAGUAUCAGUAGACUAGUUUAAAAAAAAAAAAAGUAUGAGUAGACUUUAUAUAUUGACCAAAAUUUUGGUAUGUAACGAUUAGGACACCGACAUAAUUACAUAAUUAUCUACAAAACUAUUUAUCUUAAUUUUUUAAACUUAAAUAGUUCAAUUAACGAAACAAAUCUAAUUUAGUUAUUGACAUAUAUAUAUAUAUAUAUAUAUAUAUUAUUUAAUAUUAAUAAUUAUUAUAUUACUAUGAAAAGUCUUUCAUAUUGAUCACAAUUUUAUAAUAUUUUUGAUUUAAUAAUAAUAAAUAUUAUACUAUAAAAAAAACUUCCAUGUUGAUUAGAAGUUUAUAAUGUAAUAAUUAUACUACAACAGGUUGCAUUACCUAUAAAAAUAUUAGUCUUAAUUUUUAAAACUCAAACAAUUUAAUUAAUGAAAUGACUCGAAUUUAAUUAUCAUGAUAUAAUAAUUAUAUAAUAUUACUAUGCAAAUAUUUUCAUAUUGAUCGGUAUUUUAUAAUGCAACAAUUAUCUCAACAACAGAAUCACAUUGCCAACAAAUCUAUUUAUUUUAAUUUUUUAAAACUCAAACAACUUAAUUUAUGAAAAAACUUUAUAGAAUUCUUAUGACGUGUCAUAAUAAAAAUGAAUAAAGAGUCCAUAUUAUAUUAUAAACCAAAUUUAUAUUAAUAUAAAAUUUAAUUCAACACUUGUCUUUCGAAAUAUUGCAAUAAAGACCAAAAAAGUUGGGGUAAUAAUGCGAUGACUCCGUGGAGAAAAAAAAGGCACUAAACAAUUGUCCAUGUUAUAGAUUUAUAGCCAUACAAUGCAAGGACAGAAAAUCACAACAUUGCUAAAAAAAAGAAGAGAACAAAUUACUUUUGAAUUAGAUUUAUUUAGCUUAAACCCUCUCUUACAAUUAUAUAUUAAUUUGUCAAAUUCUAAAGGAACUCUAAUUAAUUAAUAUUACACACACGUCUAAAAUAACUAUGAAUUAAAAAAAUUUAAAUUAUACUACAGACUGAAUACCUACAAACCACCUUAUAAUAUACGUUGGUUCUGAAUAUAUAUUUCAACUCUUUAGAAAUCAUAAAACAACAUAAUGAUUUGUUAAAAUAAAACACAUAAUUCUGAAUUAAAUUCAUAUCAUAACUGUAUGCGAGAAUUAUUUUUAGAAAAAAAAUAAUUUAAAAUAUGAUCAAAUGUUCAUCACAGAAAAUUAUAUAUAUAAAGAUUAAUAGUUUAAAUAUGUAUAUUAAAAUCAUUAUAUUUCUAAUAAAUUUCAAAAUUUUAAUUUUUGUAUAAUUUUCACCAGUGCAUAUUUUUCUAGCAGGAUGGAUCCAUUUUAUUUUCAUGUUGUUAGGGAAUAUAAAGUGAAUGUUGAUUAAUUCAUUUGAAUAGUCAUGUGGUAAUAUUGGUAAAGUGUGAAGAAAUUGUUUUUGGCAAGAAACUGUUCGAUAGAAUGCCUAUAACAUGUGUUGUUUGGCCGAGUAAAAAUUACGGGCCUGUAAAAGCACUGUAUUUGAAGGAGGCGCUAAAUGUUUUUAUUGAUAGGAAAAGAAGUGGGAUGAGGUCUAAUCAAGUUGGAAGAACUCCUGGAGUAGAAGCAGUGGAGUGUGGAAAACGUUUAUAGUGAAAUUUUUAGAAAAUAUAAAGGGACUGUUUGGGUGACUUUAAAAUUAAAUGUUUUUUGUUUAAAGUAGAGAAGUGAAGUAGAAGUUAGAAGUAAAUUAAGAGUUAUGAGUGUUUGAAAAAUAAGUAGAAGUCAGCUUCGAUUCUUGACUUUUUACUUUUUACGUAAACUGUACGAAUAAGUGCUUCUAAUUUAUAUCCCGAGCCGGACUUAAAAGUUAUAGCCAAACACCCCAAUAUAACGACGUCUUUGCUUCAAAAUCGUAUUUUUGUGAUACUUUCUGAUAACCCUUUCAUUCAUCUAGUACUUCUAUAUGUUCCAGAUUCUCUCACUGUCACUGUACUGUUGUAAUUUUAUUGAUGAUUUUUUCUAGACAUAUUUAUUUAAUAUUCAUUUCCAUUUUUGUUUGGUGAUUUUUUAUUUUUACAAUUUGGGUCAUGACAAGUUCGAGAUUCUAGGGUCUAAUGCAUUGGAUGUUCAUCAUCUUUAAUAAAAUCCGUUCUCAAAGUCCCAGGUACUUGUUUAUGGCGUAUCACUUACUCUCUCCGUCCCAAUCAAUUCUAUACAGUUUCCUUUUUGGGAUGUCCCAUCAUUUCUAUACAUUCCCAAAAUAGCAACUUUUUAUAAUAUAAAACAUUAUUACACCCACUACAUUCUCCCACUAUCUCCAUUAUAUAAUAAUAAAAACACUAUUACACCCACUACUUUACUCCACUAUCUCAAAUCUAUUAUUAAAAAAUAUAUGGGUCCCACCACUUUACCAACUUUCCAUAUAACUCUACUCAUUUCUUACACUUUUUCUUGGUCUCCGUGUCCGAUCCCAAUGUAUAUAAUUCAUUGGGACGGAGGGAGUAUAUAUUUAAACACCAACAUAUUGGCGAUUAUUUCACACAUUCCACAUCAGCCAAACCAGAUAGGUGAUGUUGGCAAUUGGAAAUUAUUUAGUUUAUCAGAUGCAUGUUUACCAGACUGGGGCAAUGACAGCACCAAUGACAGUAAGGCCAGUCUUCCAGGUGGUUCCAUCACAUCCAUUCAUCGAGAACUUGACAGUAUUCUCACAGCCGCAUGCUGAGUUGAUGAAUUCACCAACCUUAAGUCCCACCAAUGUAUUCUUUGGCUUGGUCUCCAAAUCUUCCUUGUGCUCUUCAGUAGUGCGGUUGGGACGAGUAAGCUUAAGGGUCACUGGACCGUUCAUGCAAAGAUUGUCGCUAAGCUCCACAACAAAAUACACUCCGUAUUUCACUCCCUUUUUCAGGUUGCUGGUAUCGUACUCUCCGUCAAUUUGGAGCCAGCAUACUGUAAUUAGUUUAGCAACCUCCAGAGCCUCGCAGCUGUGUGUACAAAAGUCCCAAAAACCAAAUAUUACGUAAAAAUUUAUCUCAAAUCUUUGGUCUCGAAAAAUGAAAGUCAAUGUCCAGUCAUUAAAUUCUGUAGUAUAAAAACACCUACGCGUUCCAACAUGUGCUAUAUAUACAUACCUGAUUGGGUAGGUCUUAGAAACCCAUUUCCAGUAGCGGCUGUCUGAACCCCAGACUAUUGAGAGUUCCUUUGCGGUGAUAACCGCAGCGCAGGACUAAAACAUUUAAUUAACAACGGAGAUAUUUCAGAAUUAAAUUAUAUCAUACAAAAUUUAUAUGGCUAAUUAGACUAUAAGAACAAGUCACACGCAUGACAAUAAUACUAUUGCAGAACUAUAAUUUCAGUAGCUUCCAUAAAAAGGUACCGAAUAUUAACAGCCAAAACAACUUACACUCUUGUCUUUCACAGCCUGGACACCUUGAGUCCACAACGACACGAUGUCAUCACGCUGCAAUUGAGCCAUCUUCCUUGCUAGUUGAGAAUAAGCAGUACUUGUGUAAUUCUUGUGCUGUCGAUGCCAAUCCUCACAGCUUCCUUGAGCUCUAUUUACAGCGUUGAGUACGGUCCUAUUUGUGCACUUAUUGAUAGUUAUACUUAACCUUAUCUACGGUAGUAGGAUGCUCUGUCCUGUUAUUCUUUCUUUUUAUUAAAUAAGUGGAGCUUGGAUAAGAGAUUCAUCAAUUAUUUAUGCCAUUUGUGCGGUAGAAGCCUCACUGGAAUCUGGUAACUUUCGGUUUUGAUUGAAAUACUCAUAUAACGAUGAAAUUGUGGAAGCAUCCUACUAUGAAAAAAGAAAUACAUACAGUGACAGGAGUACUUCUGUCAGAUCUCGGACAUUGCUCAACUCGAUUAACUCUAAAAUUUAAUAUUGGCACACAUGAACCAAACCACAAAAAACUGAGCCUCUGAUGAAUCGUUGAACCAGAAUAUUCUUGAAACUGAACUAGAAAAUUCGUCACAAGAUCUGCCUGUAUAAAUAAACUUAUAAUUACUUUCAAGGCUGUUAAAUUUCAUAAUAUAUGUUUGUGAAAAAAUAUUCUAAAUCCAGAAAAUUGACUAGCACAGGCUAUUUCCGACCAUUAUUGGUAACCUUUUUGCCAAGAAAACCGACCAAAUUAAGUUAUUUCUGACUAAACACAUAAUUUAAGAAAUGAACCACAUUUCCGACCGCUAGUGUAUGAAAUCGGUCGGUAAUGAUUUCACGGUCGAAAAUGAAUUUUUAGUUUGUUGGUUUUAAAACAGAGAAUCCCCAAAUGAACCCUGAAAUACCUUCCGACUGACUCAUUUCCAACCAACUCAGUUGGUCGGUUUUAUAAUAGGGGCUCCCCAAUUGAACCCUGAAUUUCGUUCAGACCUUAUCAUUUCCGACCAACUUUAUUGGUUGGUUUUAAAACAAGCCCCCUGAAUGAACCCUGAAUUUAUUUAUGGCAACCUCCAGUCACUUUUAGGUCUAUUCACAUGUAUGCCAAGUUCUAAGAAGAUUUUAAAACAUUACCGACUAAAGAUAGCGGUCGGUCGUCGGUCGGUUAUAAAUAUCAUUUCCGACCGAUCUGUUAUUUACAACCAGGUUUUAAAGGACCAACACAAUCGGUCGGUCGGUGGUCGGUUACGAGGUGAAAACCGACCAACUCUCUUUAUUUUCGGUCGGCGGUCGGAAAUGCCCGUUUUUCUUGUAGUUAUAUCAACUUCCAUCGGAACACAAUAUCUUACACCUUUAAGUCAUAAAUCACUGUUUUAAACUUUCCAAACAGCUUCCAAGUAUCAUAUUAAGAUUAUCCGAUGGACCUACUCGAAACAGUAUAAAACAUAUACAAACGAACACCACCAGAGCAAGGGUGUAGCCAAAAAGCUCAGAAAUUGCUCUAAAAACUUUACAACAUCUCGUACAAGGGAGUAACUAAACAAAAGGUGAUUAAAACACUGUGCUUAAAGUGUCAACGAAACAAAGAUUGUGUACACUUGAAUGAAAUAAAAUGAAAAAAAAGAAUGAAAUGGAAAAUUGUAAAUAAAUUUAAUGGAAAAUGAACAAGUUACGAGUAGAGUUACGAAAAUCGGACCUACUCAUUUAACCUACCGAUUUAGGAUUAUCAGCAAUCUGCGAUUAAUCGGAAGGAUUAAUUGGAGUGAAAACUAGAUAUAUUUUAAUAUUAAAUAAUAAUAAAUAUUUUGUUAUUAUUAUAUUAGUUAUUUAUCAACAAAUAUAUAUUUACUAUAUCAUAAAUUCUACAGUUGUUCAUAUUUAUAGUAAUAUAAUAGUUAAUUUUAAUAAAUUUUAUAUAUACUUUGAUUAAGAAAAUUUUAUAAGGAUUAAUCAGGUUUAAAAAAUCAAAUUAGUCGCCUACCUUGGGGGAUUGAUCGUUAAGUCAAGGGAUUUUUAGAACAAUGGUUAUGAGACAAUAGUGACUAAACACGAAUGAGCCUAAAUUUAGUGUGCUCUUAGACUUUGUUCACUUGGAUGGAAUGAAAUGAUGAGAAAAUGAAAUGAAAUUUGUAUUAUAUUUUGGGGAGGUUGGAGUAAAUGUUUAUAAUUUUCAUUCAUUCAAUCAUUUACACACCAUUCUACACCAUUUGAGUUAAAAAAUCUAACCACAUAUUUUGAAAGGAAUGCUGAUUCCAUUUCUUCUAUAUUUUCCCAACAAUCCCCGUCAUGCGAAAUUCAGAUUCUCAACCUCACUCACUAUUGUCUCAUACAUUCUCCUUUCUGUUUUUGUAGUUUUUCAUUCCAAGUGAACGCAACUUUAGUGUGCUUAAUUAAACAAACAUCAGCACAAAACAAUAUACAGUUCCUCAUUAUGUUUAACUAAUCUUUUAGUAAGACCUUUAAGUUAAAAGUGCUAAAGUAACAGUAGAGACCUUGAAGCAAUUACGAGCUAAACGUUAUAAUAGCCUGAACACUCCGUACUUUAACUUUUUAUAUAUUAAAACACCAAGAUAUUGGCGAUUAUUUCACACAUUCCAUAUCAGCCACACGUACCAGACAGGUAAUGUUGGCAAUUAAUUGGAAAUUAUUUAGUACAUGAUGAUUGUGAGCCACUACAAGAAAAACAGACUCAGACAACACCUUUCAGACAACACAACGAAAAAAAACCGUUGCGAAAAAAGAACACACAACGGUUGCUUUUUUGACCUCGACUAUCCAUUGUCUAAACCAGGACUCAUACUACGGUUUUUAAAAGCGUUGUUAAAAAAUAUGUAAAAAAGUUUGUUUGACACAACAGUUUAUAAAGACCAUUGUUUUUCAGAAAUUCACACAAUUGUCUAUAAAACUGUUGUUAAAUAUUAUACAACGGGUUUCCAAAACCAUUGUUAUUUGCAAAGUCAGACAAUGUUGUCAAGUAACCGUUGUAAUUAAUAAACAACGGUUGGGGAAACAGUUGUGUUUGUACAUAUUACACAAUAUUCCACUAAACCGUUGUUAAAGAAUGCACAACGAUUUUAAUAAUGAGUUGUUGUAUUCAAAUUCACACAACCGUUUUUGGUAGCAUUGUUCUUUAAACCUCGCACAACAGUUUGGCUUAAUUAUAUGUAUUGUAUUGUUGUAUCAUUUUAACUCAUACAACAGAUGAGUAUAUAGAAACCGUUGUCUAUUAGAGACACUAAAAGACAAAAAUUACCUUUUUAUAAUAAGACAAAAUUUACAAUUGACUAUUUUUGUUAAAAAAACAUAUAAAACAAACAUAAAAAAAAUUAAUUUUUUUUAUACAUGACUAAUAUUGGUAGUUCUUAACAUCCGUACGGUUAGAUCAUCAAAAAAAAUAUUUAUAAAUUAUUACGGAACUAAUCUUAUAGAUAACAAAAUUUCUAACCAGUGCUUCCUAAAUUGUAAACAUAAAACACAUACUAAGAGGGGUGUAUUGGAUUGGGAUUUUAAAGAUUUUUUUGCAUUCAUGAAAUCCGAGGGUAUUCGAUUGGGAUUGUUUGAAAUCCAUUAAAAUCUUGAGGUAUUCAAUUGGGAUUUUAAAUUAUGCUUUAAAAUCCGAUGGUAUUCAAUUGGGAUUGUUUAAAAUCCAUUAAAAUCUGAUGGUAUUCAAAUGCUGAUGGAUUUUUUUUCAUUUCAUAAAAUGAUGGAUUUUGUGGCAUUCUUCAGUGUAUUUUAAGUUUUUUGAAAUCCCACCAAAUUCAAUGGGAUUUUGAAGCAUUGUACCUAAAUCCUAUCAACUCUGCGACAUUUCAUCAAGAAUCCGCACAAAAUCAAAAUCUCAUACAAUCCAUUAAAAUCCAUAGACUAAAAACAAUGCAUUAAAAUCCCAAUCGAAUACACCCCCGUAAUACUCACGUCCGAACUACAAAAUUAUCUUCUUGUUACAAAUGAACAAUACAAAUUUGCAUAUAUGUUUAAUACAAAUAUAAUUUUUAGAUAAAAAACAUAAAAAUAAGGAUUUUUCAAGGAUAAGAGAAUCUUUAACUCUUAAAAAAAAUAAUUUAUUAGACAACUGUUUUUUUCCAAUAAAUUGUUGUUUACACUACUUACAUACAACGAGUUUUGUUGAAAACGUUGUUUGAGCUUAUUUUGGACAAUAAUUUCUCUUACAAAAAUUCUCAUGGGACAAUAACCAUUGUCUAUUUACAAGAAAAUGUGGCACCACCUGAUUGGUGGAAAAUAUUUCACCUGGAUUGCUUACUUGGCAAAAUGUCACCAAUUGAUUGACUUCACCUGGAUCACUUAGUUGGCAUAAUAAGAGCCCUUGACUUUCUGAAGGUGUCACACAACGGUUUUUUAAGAAAACUGUUGUAUAAUAUCUAAUUCUUAAAUUUUUUAAUUUUAUAAUGACUUUGAAAUUGAUUUUUAAAAUUUUUAAAUUUGAAUAAUAAAAUAAUAUGACAGUCAAAAUUUAAUAAAUUUUAUCAUUUAAAAUUUGACCAUGGCUAUUAUAAACUCUUAGAUCAACCUGAACUAGGUCUAUCAUAAUCAAACAUGAUUACGCUCGAGAGCGCCCAAUGAGCGCCUUGGGAGCGCCCUAUAAGCGCCCCAGGAAAAAUUUUCAUUAACCAGCUCUACGCCUCUACCUCUCUAGAGAAACACAUUCUCUGUCUCUUCUCUCUCAAACAAACUCUCUCAUUUUCUUCACUGUGGAACAAAUUCCAGAUCUUUCUUCUCAGUCUCUUCGUCUCGUCGGCUGGGUCCGGAGCGCCCGAGAAGCGCCCUGGGAGCGCCCCAGGAGCGCCAAGUGCGCCCGAGGUGCGCUUGAGGACCUCACCAGCGUCGACCUGGGCACCAAGGAUGCCCUAAAUCGACCUGGGUGAGGUCGAAAAAUGACUUGGGCGUCAAAAAACACCCAACGCCCGAGAGCGCCAGAGAAGCGCCCUGGGAGCGUCCUAUGAGCGCCCCAGGAGCGCCAAUAGCGCCCGAGGUGCGCCUGAGGACCUCACCAGCGUCGACCUGGGCACCAAGGAUGCCCUAAAUCGACCUGGGUGAGUUCGAAAACUGACUUGGGCGUCAAAAAACACCCAACGCCCGAGAGCGCCCGAGAAGCGCCCUGGGAGCGUCCUAUGAGCGCCCCAGGAGCGCCAAUAGCGCCCGAGGUGCGCCUGAGGACCUCACCAGCGUCGACCUGGGCACCAAGGAUGCCCUAAAUCGACCUGGGUGAAGGGCAACAUACAUACUAAGUAAGAGAUAAGGGAGAGAGACAAAUAGAGAGAGAGCGACUGAGAGAUAGUAACAGUCAGAGGGAGGGACAGAGUGAGAGAGGGAGACACAUAGAGAGAUCGGGAAAUAUAUUCUAAGAGAGUGGAGAUGGAGGGAAGGAGGGAGAGAGAGAUUUUUAGGACAUUCACUGAGAAAGCAAUGUCUAAAAUGUGAGUAUUAAUUUAUGAUGGGUCCUCAUUAAUGUCUGGGCUAAUACAUUUUGCCUUUAGAAAGCCUUUCCCCUUGCUGAUUUAUCUUUAUUUGUAUAACCCUGCAGUCAUAAUCUUUAUUUUGGUGCGCAUUAUUAAUUUUGGAGUUGCUUUCUGCGCUGACAUUUUUAUGAUUGCAGUCAGAAACUCAAUUUUCCUACUAGAGCUAUGUUCUGUUUCAUGACACAAAAUAGCUUACAAUUAGUGUAUGAGGGCCUUCGAUUUGGGUCCUUCGAUUUGCAGUCUAGAGGGCCUGGUUGGCAAGUUGAGACUGGUAGAAUGGACAACUUAACUACUAGCAAAACUACAACAAACAAUAACAUUCCACCCCAACUUCCGAUUAUAUCAGCACACGUAUAUGCCUAUGUAUUAUUUUACCAUAAUGGCGAGUUCUCUCGAUAUUGCUUGAUUAAUUUGCAUAACUUGUCUUUGCUGCAGGUAUUACAAUCUCGCACAUGCAGUGAAUGAAAGAGUUUUAAGGCAGCCCUCAAUGCUACAAGCUGGAAUCUUGAGAGAUUAUCAUAUUGUAUGUUCCAUUUUUCUGAGAGACUGAUCUAAAUAAAACUUAUUCUUUGGUUUAUUGUCUUAUGUCAUUGCGAGUAGCUCUUUCUUGUUAACAUAGCAACAAGUAGAUCCUUGCCAGUCAUGUGUAGUAUUAUGGAACAUUUGAUUUUUGAUUUGUUGAUGCAGAUAAGGACAACUACGUCAACUACCACAAGAGAUUAAUUGAUUUAGUAAAUAUCAGACGGUUAUGAGGACGACAACACCAUGGGUAGUGCCCAGCCAGCUUAUACUUCAAUGAGAAAGUAUGUAAGGUACUAUAGAGACUUUGUGAUUGGGCUUAACAAAUCCUUGGUGGAUGAUUCCAGUAUUGAGAUAUGCAUGCUUGUACAAGGUUAUUUGUAGCCAUUUGAAAUGUUAUUAAUUUAGUUUGUACAAAUUAUUUUAAUCUUUUGUUAGGCAAAGAUUUGACUUUCAGUUACUUGUAUAAAUUGUAUAAGACAAUAGUUUGAUUUCUAAAGUUUUUACCAUCUCAACAAUUGUACAAAUAAAGUUCACACAACUGUUGACUCUAUUAAUGCAAGAAAACACAUUAUUUUAUCGAAAUUGUUGUGGGGAGGGAAGAAAGACAAUACUUUGUCUCAAGGGAACUAUUGAAUAACAAAUUGUUUUAAAACAUUCUUUUAUAACUAAACCGUUGAAUGGAGUAAUUUCAAACAAUAUUUUUUUUUUUGGUAUUAUUGACUAUAGGAAAGAAGGACAAUCUUUCGUCUCAGGGGAACUAUUGUCUGAAACAUAUCAGACAUGUGGUAUGCAUUUAAGAAACGCAUGAAUAACACAAGGUCUUACAACACUCUGUUACAUCAAAACAGUUGUGUAUACCAACCUUCCAACAACAUUUUCUCGUAUUUGCGUUGUUGUCUUGCAGUAAGACAGACAACGAUUGCGUACCGUUGUCUCAUCCCAGUAUCAGACGGCAUCUCAAUACUCAACGGUAUUUGAGGGUUUCAGACAACGGGUAAUUUCCGUUGUCUGAGAUUCAUGUUUAGCAGUUAACUGGGGCAAUGACAGCACCAACGACAGUAAGGCCCGUCUUCCAGGUGGUUCCAUCACAUCCAUUCAUCGAGAACUUGACAGUAUUCUCACAGCCACAGGCGCCUGUGUUGCAGAAUUCACCAACCUUAAGUCCCACCAAAGUAUUCUUUGGCUUGGUCUUCAAAUCUUCCUUGUGCUCUUCAGUAGUGCCGUUGGGACGAGUAAGCUUAAGUGUCACUGGACCGUUCAUGCAAAGAUUGUCGCUAAGCUCCACAGCCAAAUACACUCCGUAUUUCACUCCCUUGAUGAGGUUGUUGGCAUUGUACUUUCCGUCAAUUUGUAGCCAGCAUACUGUGAUCAGUUCAGCAACCUCCAGAGACUGGCAGCUGUGUGUACAAAAGUCCGAAAAACCAAAUAUUAUGUAAAACUUUAUCUCAAAUCUUUGGUCUCGAAAAAUGGAAGUCAAUAAUGUCCAGUCAUUAAAUUUUGUAGUACAAAAACACCAAAAGCUUUCCAACAUGUGCUAUACAUACCUGAUUGGGUAGGUCUUAGAAACCCAUUUCCAGUAGCGGCUGUCUGAACCCCAAACUAUUGAGAGCUCCUUUGCACUGAUAACCGCUGCGAAGGACUGGACCAAUUCAUCAACAUUAACGGAGGUAUUUCCGAAUCAAAAUAUAUCGUACAAAAUUAUAUGACUAAUUAGACUAUAAUUAAGAACAAGUCACACGCAGGUAUACUGGUGUGUGCAUGGUGCAUGAAAAUAAUACUAUUGCAGAAUUAUAAUUUCAAUAGCUUAAUUAGUAUAUAAAAAGGUACCGAAAAUUAACAACCAAAACAACUUACACUCUUGUCUUUCACAGCCUGGACACCUUGAGUCCACAACGACACGAUGUCAUCACGCUGCAAUUGAGCCAUCUUCCUUGCUAGUUGAGAAUAAGAAGUUCUUGUGUAAUUCUUGUGCUGUCUAUGCCAAUCCUCACUUCCUUGAGCUGUAUUUAUAGCGUUUCAGACGGUCCUAUUUGUGCACUUAUUGAUAGUUACACUUAACCUUAUCUAUGGUAGUAGGAUGCUCUGUCCCGUUAUUCUUUCUUUUUAUUAAAUAAGUGGAGCUUGAAUAAGAGAUUCAUCAAUUAUUUAUGCCAUUUGUGCGGUAGAAGCCUCACUGGAAUCUGGUAACUUUCGGUUUUGAUUGAAAUACUCAUAUAACGAUGAAAUUGUGGAAGCAUCCUACUAUGAAAAAAGAAAUACAUACAGUGACAGGAGUACUUCUGUCAGAUCUCGGAAAUUGCUCAACUCGAUUAACUCUGAAAUUAAAUAUUGGCACACAUGAACCAAACCACAAAAAACUGAGCUUCUCAUGAAUCGUUGAACAAGUAUAUUCUGGAAACUGAACUAGAAAAUUCGUCACAAGAUCUGCCUGUAUAAAUAAACUUAUAAUUACUUUCAAGGCUGUUAAAUUUUAUAAUAUAUGUUCGUGAAAAAAUAUUCCUAAUCCAGAAUACCAACUACCACAGGUUGUUUCUGACCAUUAUUGGUAACCUUUUUGCCCAGAUACCGACCAAAUUAAGUUAUUUCUAAGUAAACACAUAAUUUAAGAAAUGAACCACAUUUCCGACCGCUAGUGUAUGAAAUCCGGUCGGUAAUGACUUCACGGUCGGAAAUGAAUUUAGUUUGUUGGAUUUAAAACAGCGAAUCCCCAAAUGAUCCUGCAAUACCUUCUGACUGAAUUUUUUUUAAAAAAAAACCCUUCUGACCGACUCAUUUCCGACCAACUCAGUUGGUCGCUUUUAUAAUAGGGGCUCCCCAAUUGAACCUUGAAUUUCGUUUUGACCGAAUCAUUUCCGACCAACGUUAUUGGUUGGUUUUAAAACAGGGCCCCAAAUGAACCCUAAAAUUUAUUUCCGACCGCCCCUAGUUGCUUUUAGGUCUAUUCAAGUGUAUGCCAGGUUCUAAGAAAAUUUUAAAACAUUACCGACUAAAGAUAGCGGUCGGUUGUCGGUCGGUUAUAAAUAUCAUUUCCGAUCUUUUAUUUACAACCAGGUUUUAAAGGACCAACACAAUCGGUCGGUCGGUGGUCGGUUACGAGUUGAAAACCGACCAACUCUCUUUAUUUCCGGUCGGCGGUCGGAAAUGCCCGCUUUUCUUGUAGUGAUAGCAACUUCCAUCGGAACACAAUAUCUUACACUUUUUAAGUCAUAAAUCACUGUUUUAAACUUUCCAAACAGCUUCCAAGUAUCAUAUUAAGCUUAUCUGAUGGCCCUUGUACUCGAAACAGAAUAAAACAUAUACAAACGAACACCACCAGAGCAAGGGUGUAGCCAAAAAGCUCAGAAAUUGCGUUAAAACCUUUUUAACAUCUUUGUGCGAGGGAGUAACUAAACAAAAGGUGAUUAAAGCACUCUGCUUAAAGUGUCAACGAAACUAAGUUCGUGUACACUUGAAUGAAAUUGAAAAAAAGAAUGAAAUGGAAAAUUGUUCGUAAAUUUAAUGGAAAAUGAACAAGUUACGAGCAGUGUUACGAAAAUUGGACCUAAUCGGUUAUCCUACCCAUUCAGGAUUAUCGGCAAUACGUGAUUAAUCGGAAGGAUUAAUUGGAGUGAAAACCAGAUAUAUUUUAAUAUUAAAUAAUAUUUAAUAUUUUUUUAUUAUUAUAUUAGUUAUUUAUUAUCAAAUAUAUAUAUUUAGUAUAUCAUAAAUUCUACGGUUGUUCAUAUUUAAAGUAAUAUAAUAGUUAAUUUUAAUAAAUUUUAUAUAUAAUUUGAUUAAAAAAAAUUUAUAAGGAUUAAUCAGAUUUUAAAAAUCAUAUCGGUCGCCUACCUUGGGGGAUUGAUCGUUAAAUCAAGCGAUUUUUAGAACAAUGGAUACGAGACAAUAGUGACUAAACACGGAUGAGCCUAAAUUUAGUGUACUCUUAGACUUUGCUGAGAGAAUGAAAUGAAAAUUGUAUUAUAUUUUGGGGAGGUUGGAGUAAAUGUUUAUAAUUUUCAUUACUUCUAUCAUUCUACACACCAUUCUACGUACACCAUUUGAGUUAAAAAAAUCUAACCCACAUAUUUUGAAAGGAAUGCUCGAUUCCAUUUCAUCUAACCCACAUAUUUUGAAAGGAAUGCUCGAUUCCAUUUCUUCUCUAUUUUCCAACAAUCCCCGUCAUGCAAAAUUCAGAUUCUCGAACUCACUCACUAUUGUCUAAUACAUUCUCCUUUCUCUUUUGUAGUUUCUCAUUCCAAGUGAACGCAACUUUAGUGUGCUUAAUUAAACAAACAUCAGCACACAACAAUAUACAGUUCCUCAUUAUGUUUAACUUAUCUUUUAGUCAGAUCUUUAAGUUGAAAGUGCUAAAGUGACAGUAGAGACCUUGAAGCAAUUACGAGCUAAACGUUAUAAUAGCUUGAACACUCCUUACUUUAACUUUUUAUAUAUUAAAAGCACCAACAUAUUGGCGAUUAUUUCACACAUUCCAUAUCAGCCACACCAGAUAGUUGAUGUUGGCAAUUGGAAAUUAUUUAGUACAUGAUGAUAAUCAGAUUCAUGUUUAGCAGUUAACUGGGGCAAUGACAGCACCAACGACAGUAAGGCCAGUCUUCCAGGUGGUUCCAUCACAUCCAUUCAUCGAGAACUUGACAAUAUUCUCACAGCCGCAGGGGGCUGUGUUGCAGAAUUCACCAACCUUAAGCCCCACCAAUGUAUUCUUUGGCUUGGUCGUCAAAUCUUCCUUGUGCUCUUCAGUAGUGCCGUUGGGACGAGUAAGCUUAAGGGUCACUGGACCGUUCAUGCAAAGAUUGUCGCUAAGCUCCACAGCAAGAUACACUCCGUAUUUCACUCCCUUGAUGAGGUUGGUGGCACUGUACUUUCCGUCAAUUUGUAGCCAGCAUACUGUGAUGAGUUCAGCAACCUCCAGAGGCUGGGGACUGUGUGUACAAAAGUCCGAAAACCCAAAUAUCAUGUAAAAAUUUGUCUCAAAUCUUUGGUCUCGAAAAUUGGAAGUCAAUGUCCAGUCAUUAAAUUCCAACAUGUGCUAUAUAUACAUACCUGAUUGGGUAUUUCUUAGAAACCCAUUUCCAGUAGCGGCAGUCUGAACCCCAAACUAUUGAGAGUUCCUUUGCACAGAUAACCGCAGCGAAGGACUGGACCAUUUAAUCAACAUUAACGGAGAUAUUUCCGAAUCAAAAUAUAUCGUACAAAAUUAUAUGACUAAUUAGACUAUAAUUAAGAACAAGUCACUGGUGUGUGCAUGGUGCAUGACAGUACUAAUAAUAUUGCAGAAUUAUAAUUUCAUUACCUAAAUAAAAAAAGUAGUGAAAAUUAACAACCAAAAUAACUUACACUCUUGUCUUUCGCAGCCUGGACACCUUGAGUCCACAACGACACGAUGUCAUCACGCUGCAAUUGAGCCAUCUGCCUUGCGAGUUGAGAAUAAGAAGUUGUUGUGUAAUUCUUGUGCUGUCGAUGCCAAUCCUCACUUCCUUGAGCUGUAUUUAUAGCGUUUCAGACGGUCCUAUUUGUCCACUUAUUGAUAGUUACACUUAACCUUAUCUACGGUAGUAGGAUGCUCUGUCCCGUUAUUCUUUCUUUUUAUAAAAUAAGUGGAGCUUGGAUAAGAGAUUCAUCAAUUAUUUAUGCCAUUUGUGCGGUAGAAGCCUCACUGGAAUCUGGUAACUUUUGGUUUUGAUUGAAAUACUCAUAUAACGACGAAAUUGUGGAAGCAUCCUACUAUGAGAAAAGAAAUACAGUGACAGGAGUACUUCUGUCAGAGCUAGGAGCCUAGGACAUUACUCAACUCGAGUAACUCUGAAAUUUAAUAUUGGCACAGAUGAACCAAACCACGAAACAUUGAGCUUCUCAGUAAUUGUUGAACCAGAAUUUUCUGGCAACUGAACUAGAAAAUUCGUCACAAGAUCUUGCUGUAUAUAUAAAUAAACUUAUAAUUACUUUCAAGGCUGUUAAAUUUCAUAAUAUAUGUUUGUGAAUAAAUAUUGAAUUAGUUGUUGAGUGAGUGUCAACCCUAGUCCCACGGAAAGAUAAAUAAGAUUUGUCUUAAACUUUAUUAGUAUGAGGUCUUCUGGGAGGAGUUUAAAAACAAAUCCGUGCGGGCUUGUGGAGUUGACAUGUGUUGCGCGGCCAAUAUUAGUAGCCAAGGAGAAGUUUAAUUGAUCAUAGGUGAAAUGGGGUCUGGGUACAUCCACUAAUUUCAAGGACAAGCCUGCAAUGGAAGAAUGAAAUCUGUCACAAAUGGAAUUGCAUAUGUCAUUUUUGACGGUUAAAUCCGUCAAAACUUUUCUCCAUUGCUAGGUUAAAGGGUUGUGUUACUUGUGUAGUUAACAGAACUGCCGCAUGGAAUUCAUCUAGUACUUGUAUAUGUUCCAGAUUCUCUCGCUGUCACUGUACUGUUGUAAUUUUAUUGAUGAUUUUUUCGAAACAUAUUUAUUUAAUAUUCAUUCACCAUUUUUGUUUGGCCAUAUUUUCUUGGCUUAAAGCAAGUGCUAGAAUAAAAGUAACAGUUACGACCCAAGCAGUAAAAUUGAAGGAACACUCCUUACUUUAACUUAUUAUUCAUUAAAACACCAACAUAUUGGCGAUUAUUUCACACAUUCCACAUCAGCCACACCAGAUAAGUGAUGUUGGAAAUUAGAAAUUAUUUAGUACAUGAUGAUUAUCAGAUUCAUGUUUAGCAGAUAACUGGGGCAAUGACAGCACCAAUGACAGUAAGGCCAGUCUUCCAGGAGGUUCCAUCACAUCCAUUCAUCGAGAACUUGACGGUUUUCUCACAGCCGCAGGCCGGGUUGGUGAAUUCACCCACCUUAAGUCCCACCCAUGUAUUUUUCGGCUUGGUAUGCAAAUCAUCGU
Molecule: long non-coding RNA, 23655 nt
Filed under: Daucus carota (carrot)
Lineage: Eukaryota; Viridiplantae; Streptophyta; Magnoliopsida; Apiales; Apiaceae
Description: long non-coding RNA (DCAR_LNC000807)
Source: RNAcentral